ACGCCGUCGCGGCGCUCGACGCCGGCAGGUUCGACGCCGCCGCGCUGCAGAUCGGCGCCGGGCAAUCGGAGGUGGAGCUGUGCAAGAGCGGGUGCGAGCGCGUGCAGCUGCCGGAGCUGCUCGCCGCGCGCAACAGCGCCGUCGACCGCCUCUGCAACGUCGCUACGGACAUCACCAGGGUGCUCCAGCUUAAGCAGCACUGAUCGCAUCGAUCCGCGGCUACCGUCCUGAAGCCCUCGCAUUGGCUACGCUGCUAUCUACUCCGUAUUUGUAUUUUGAUGGCCUGAUUCAAUCGCACUGCAUUUGGCAAUGUAAAUCAGCGUGUUAUUAUUAUUAAUUCAAGUGCCAAAGCUGAGAUGUUUCUGUCAAGCUCGAUCCAAUUAAUGAUCAUGAUCUACACUCAAUUAUCUGGACUGUUCAAUAAUCUGGGCCGCCAUUUCAUCCCCAAUGGGAUCCUCUAAAUUAAAUAAAUUAGGCUUCGUUUGGCAAAAGGGGUUUUAUUCCCAGGGUAAAUCAAUCACGUGGAGGGGAUUGGGUUAAUACACUCCCCUCACCCAAUCCCCCUCUACCAUGUGUACACUACUUUAACUGUUUGGGUAAGAAGUUGCGGCGCCGACGGACGACGUGCGGCGCCAGCCGAAGCGGAGAGGCCGAUAUCUUCGUUUUUUUUCUGGCGGCAUCGGUGAUAGAGUUCCACCGGAGGCGUGGAGCAGUGGAACGAUUUUCAGUAGGGUUUGGGAUGGAUUGGGC
RNAcentral lists this long non-coding RNA (750 nucleotides) under Oryza brachyantha (malo sina). RNAcentral describes it as "long non-coding RNA (OBRA_LNC001424)". Lineage: Eukaryota; Viridiplantae; Streptophyta; Magnoliopsida; Poales; Poaceae. The record is from RNAcentral.